CCUACGGGACGCAGCAGUGGGGAAUAUUGGACAAUGGGCGAAAGCCUGAUCCAGCAAUGCCGCGUGUGUGAAGAAGGUCUUCGGAUUGUAAAGCACUUUCGACGGGGACGAUGGUGACGGUACCCGUAGAAGAAGCCCCGGCUAGCUUCGUGCCAGCAGCCGCGGUAAUACGAAGGGGGCUAGCGUUGCUCGGAAUGACUGGGCGUAAAGGGCGCGUAGGCGGUGAAUCGGGUUGAAAGUGAAAGUCGCCAAAAACUGGCGGAAGACUCUCGAAACCAAUUCACUUGAGUGAGACAGAGGAGAGUGGAAUUUCGUGUGUAGGGGUGAAAUCCGGAGAUCUACGAAGGAACGCCAAAAGCGAAGACAGCUCUCUGGGUCCCUACCGACGCUGGAGUGCGAAAGCAUGGGGAGCGAACGGGAUUAGAUACCCGUGUAGUC
This 438-nucleotide ribosomal RNA is filed under the name uncultured bacterium. RNAcentral's name for it is "bacterial SSU rRNA". It matches the Rfam family "Bacterial small subunit ribosomal RNA", at positions 338 to 795 of the family's 1533-position model. The record is from RNAcentral.